UGAAAUCUUUGAUUAGGUCUGG
Molecule: microRNA, 22 nt
Filed under: Aedes aegypti (yellow fever mosquito)
Lineage: Eukaryota; Metazoa; Arthropoda; Insecta; Diptera; Culicidae
Also listed under: 2 other names
Description: aae-miR-1890
Source: miRBase by way of RNAcentral